RNAcentral lists this ribosomal RNA (234 nucleotides) under uncultured bacterium. Its description in RNAcentral is "partial 16S ribosomal RNA". It matches the Rfam family "Bacterial small subunit ribosomal RNA", at positions 524 to 757 of the family's 1533-position model. The record is from RNAcentral.
UACGUAGGAGACGAGCGUUGUCCGGAGUUACUGGGCGUAAAGCGUGCGCAGGCUGUUCUGUAAGUCAGAUGUGGAAUCCCCGAGCUCAACUUGGGAACUGCGUUUGAAACUACAGGACUAGAAUAUGUCAGAGGGGGGUAGAAUUCCACGUGUAGCAGUGAAAUGCGUAGAGAUGUGGAGGAAUACCAAUGGCGAAGGCAGCCCCCUGGGAUAAUAUUGACGCUCAUGCACGAA